CGAGGGGCAGCGGGGGAGUAGCAAUACUCCCGCCGGCGACCGGCGCACGGGUGAGUAACACGUAUGAAACCUGCCCGUAGCAGGGGGAUAAGCGGAAGAAAUUCCGUCUAAUACCGCGUAACAACCCAUGGAGGCAUCUCUGUGGGUUUAAAGGAAGCGAUUCCGGCUACGGAUGGUCAUGCGUCGCAUUAGCUUGUUGGCGGGGUAACGGCCCACCAAGGCGACGAUGCGUAGGGGUUCUGAGAGGAAGGUCCCCCACACUGGUACUGAGACACGGACCAGACUCCUACGGGAGGCAGCAGUGAGGAAUAUUGGUCAAUGGCCGCAGGGCUGAACCAGCCAAGUCGCGUGAGGGAUGACGGUCCUAUGGAUUGUAAACCUCUUUUGUCAGGGAGCAAAGGGCGCCACGUGUGGCGCUUUGCGAGUACCUGAAGAAAAAGCAUCGGCUAACUCCGUGCCAGCAGCCGCGGUAAUACGGAGGAUGCGAGCGUUAUCCGGAUUUAUUGGGUUUAAAGGGUGCGCGGGCGGAAUGUCAAGUCAGCGGUAAAAUUUCGGGGCUCAACCCCGUCGUGCCGUUGAGACUGGCGUUCUUGAGUGAGCGAGAAGUAUGCGGAAUGCGUGGUGUAGCGGUGAAAUGCAUAGAUAUCACGCAGAACUCCGAUUGCGAAGGCAGCAUACCGGCGCUCAACUGACGCUCAUGCACGAAAGCGUGGGUAUCGAACAGGAUUAGAUACCCUGGUAGUCCACGCAGUAAACGAUGAAUACUAACUGUCCGGGCAGAAUGAUGCCUGGGUGGUACAGCGAAAGCGUUAAGUAUUCCACCUGGGGAGUACGCCGGCAACGGUGAAACUCAAAGGAAUUGACGGGGGCCCGCACAAGCGGAGGAACAUGUGGUUUAAUU
RNAcentral lists this ribosomal RNA (901 nucleotides) under uncultured bacterium. RNAcentral describes it as "bacterial SSU rRNA". It matches the Rfam family "Bacterial small subunit ribosomal RNA", at positions 63 to 951 of the family's 1533-position model. The record is from RNAcentral.